Molecule: ribosomal RNA, 506 nt
Filed under: bacterium enrichment culture clone ALO1_GLFRUDD03FSU01
Lineage: Bacteria
Description: bacterial SSU rRNA
Rfam family: Bacterial small subunit ribosomal RNA
Source: RNAcentral
GAGUUUGAUCGUGGCUCAGAUUGAACGCUGGCGGCAGGCCUAACACAUGCAAGUCGAGCGGAUGACGGGAGCUUGCUCCUUGAUUCAGCGGCGGACGGGUGAGUAAUGCCUAGGAAUCUGCCUGGUAGUGGGGGACAACGUUUCGAAAGGAACGCUAAUACCGCAUACGUCCUACGGGAGAAAGCAGGGGACCUUCGGGCCUUGCGCUAUCAGAUGAGCCUAGGUCGGAUUAGCUAGUUGGUGGGGUAAUGGCUCACCAAGGCGACGAUCCGUAACUGGUCUGAGAGGAUGAUCAGUCACACUGGAACUGAGACACGGUCCAGACUCCUACGGGAGGCAGCAGUGGGGAAUAUUGGACAAUGGGCGAAAGCCUGAUCCAGCCAUGCCGCGUGUGUGAAGAAGGUCUUCGGAUUGUAAAGCACUUUAAGUUGGGAGGAAGGGCGAGUAAGUUAAUACCUUGCUGUUUUGACGUUACCGACAGAAUAAGCACCGGCUAACUCUGUGCC